RNAcentral lists this long non-coding RNA (675 nucleotides) under Struthio camelus australis. RNAcentral describes it as "lncRNA (ENSSCUG00000006465.1)". Lineage: Eukaryota; Metazoa; Chordata; Aves; Struthioniformes; Struthionidae. The record is from RNAcentral.
CACGGCCCCCGCUCCUCGCCGUGCAACGGCCCAGCCUCCGCAGCGGGUAGGCAACGCCUCCGCUUCCUGCCCCUGCUGCGUAACAGGGCCUGGCCUGUCUCUGAUGCCCGAGUUCCUGUCUUGCUGUCAGUCUCAUUUCUGUUACGCAGACAGUUCAUCCCAUUGGAAUCAAUAGACCCCACAACCCACCAAGGGGAUCCAAGCAAGAUCUCAGUAAAACCACCUGCUGGAGAAGCCCUUCCCUAAACUGGCUGUGAACUAUACAGAUACUCUACAUUAAAUCCAAAGUUCCAGUUAAAUUACAGUACUGCACUUCUCAGAUGGCCAGAUUUACACACUCAAGACACAGAAAAAAAAGAAACUAAAAUUCCAAAUAACAAAGACCUUGCAAACAGGAGGAAAUCAGGUAAGAUCCUAGCAGGAGAAAAACUGCCCAGAAAAGGUGCCUACCCAUUCGCCUCUCUCUGACCUGACAGACUCACUCACAGCUCCACUCAUGAUGAUAAACAGGAUCAUAUCCGUAUGAGCACAACACAAAUAAUUCAUCUCAGGAACACACACUGGUAUCCCCUGCUUUAGAGUCCCAUCUCCCAGGGUGGAAAAUAAUAAUAAUGUUUUAAAGGUAAACAUUUUUAAAACAAGAAAUAAAUCCAGGUAAUAAUGUCCUGGGGAACA